AAGAGACAGCAGCCGCCGCGGGAAUACGUAGGCGGCAAGCGUUGUCCGGAAUUAUUGGGCGUAAAGCGCGCGCAGGCGGAUAGGUCAGUCUGUCUUAAAAGUUCGGGGCUCAACCCCGUGAUGGGAAAGAAACUACAUGUCUUGAGUACAGGAGAGGAAAGAGGAAUUCCUAGUGUAGCGGUGAAAUGCGUAGAUAUUAGGAAGAACACCAGUGGCGAAGGCGACUUUCUGGACGAAAACUGACGCUGAGGCGCGAAAGCCAGGGGAGCGAACGGGAUUAGAUACCCCAGUAGUCCCUGUCUCUUAUACA
This 310-nucleotide ribosomal RNA is filed under the name uncultured bacterium. Its description in RNAcentral is "partial 16S ribosomal RNA". It matches the Rfam family "Bacterial small subunit ribosomal RNA", at positions 503 to 809 of the family's 1533-position model. The record is from RNAcentral.